Molecule: long non-coding RNA, 1911 nt
Filed under: Citrus maxima (pomelo)
Lineage: Eukaryota; Viridiplantae; Streptophyta; Magnoliopsida; Sapindales; Rutaceae
Description: long non-coding RNA (CMAX_LNC004421)
Source: RNAcentral
CCAUCCACAAUUAACUGAGGCCAAAAGUAUUUGACUAACCAUCCCAUGCCAAAAGGUGAUAUCUUCAUCAGAAGCAUAAAAAAUCUCAUGUUUCAGACUUUGACAAGUAUCAAGAUGUCAACAUGAUAACAUACAGCUCCAGACACAUGUCAGGGUCAUGCCAUGAUGAUUUCAUUAUAUACCCACCCACUAGAAGUUCUGGAUAAGAUCCCUUGAAAAAAGAUUGCUGUAGAAUCAGAUGCCACUCACUAAAAAAGGGGUUGAUUCUAAAAGAACAUGGGCAAGAAAGAAUUUCACUACUAAUUAUCUGCGCACUUCAGUAACUUUCUUUACAACCUUUUCCAUUCAGCUUAUCAUUUGGAAGAGGCUCACUUAAGAACAAACCCAGUAAUCAAAUAACAUCCAAUGAAAUCUUUCAAGACUUUAAAUCUUCACUUAUGGAACAAAAACUCCCUUCCAUUCAGUGCAGUCAUGAGAAGGUACAGAUGUUUACACAGAUAAGAAUUUAAUAGAAUAGAUCAACAUAGAUGUGGAAGCUAAAAGAGUUCCGUAGGUACAGUUAGAGAAGAUGUAGCAUCCUAUAUUAACCAAAUACAUGUCUCAUAGGAAAGAUCUACAGGAAAAAGAGGAUUUUUAUAAUUGACCUAGGUAGUUAAGUUACAAAGCCAUGGCCGACCCUCCACUGCACUAAAGAUUUGUUCCAUCCCACCUCAUAUGAAACAUUCUCAGAAGAAAGAACACAAUCGAAUGGCCAUGAGAAUUCCAUCCCACUUCUCCCCACAAGCUUAAUCAACAUUUAAACAAAACAUCAGCAAUAUACUUCCAAAAUAGAAGAAACGAGUUCAUAAGAAUUUCUAUAUAUUCUCAAAGGUUCUUCUGUAUAUAAUGGAUUAGAUUGCAACGAAAUCAAAAAAAUUAAUUAACCAACUCAACUCUGUUUUCUAGGAUUCUAAGUUAUCAUAACUUAAGAGUGUUAACAACUGUGAGUUGUACAUUAAAAGAAACUCACGAGGUAAAAAGAACCAAUACGUAUUACCAAAUAAAGAAAAUGAAACUUGAUAUCGGAUCUACUAUUACACUUUCUCCCAGCUCAUCAUGAUUUUCCUUUAGAUACAUGUUUCCAUGUUUCAAUAUUAUUAAUCGUAUGAAUAACUAAUAAGCAAAGCUUUACAAGAGCACCAUCUAGGCCAUAUCUUCCAUCAAUUUUCAUUUUUGGCCCCUUGUGCUUUCGGACUUUCAACUUCUCUUGUUAGUCAUUCCUAGAUUAUCAGACCAUGUACGUUGCAUUUGUUCUCAAAUUAAUAAAUAAAAUUAAAGACUGACAGGUAGCUGCGGGAUUGGUGGAGUGUGUAAUUUGCAGUUAAACCUUAAUAAGUUCAAGUUUGAUGUAUAGCCGAAGAUAUUUAGCUUGAUUUCCUUUUAUGAUGUAUGUAUGAAUUAUAUAACAUUUUAAUGAGUACGUUAAACCAUUGAACUAUUACCCCCUACCAAACCCCAAAGUUGUAUUUAAGCUUUUCAAUCAAAUACUCCAAUCACACUGAAACAAAUUGAAAUCAGAUAAUUUGAAAUCUACAACAAACAAUGCUGUUAACAAAAAUAAAAUGUGAAAGAUAAGAACCUGUCUCAAUUCAGGAGCUUUGGUUUUUGUCAUGUUCCAUAACAUACCUGUAAAUGAAAAAAGGCAAGAGAACAACGAUCAAACAAAGCCCCAAGCUCACUUUACUAAACAUAAUAACAAGUUAACAUCAGCCGCUGCAUAUCGUCGCCGGGUCAUGCCGCUGUUGAUGGCCCUGGUGAGGCGUGUCGUGAGGGAGUGGAGGGGAGAGAGUGAGUGAAGAGGGAGAGGGAGCCAUGAGGUGAGGGCGUGAGUGAAGAGGGAGGAAAGAGGAAAUUGGUUUUCCGUGUGAGAUG